GAUGAACGCUGGCGGCGUGCCUAACACAUGCAAGUCGAGCGAACAGACGAGGAGCUUGCUCUUCUGACGUUAGCGGCGGACGGGUGAGUAACACGUGGAUAACCUACCUAUAAGACUGGGAUAACUUCGGGAAACCGGAGCCAAUACCGGAUAAUAUAUUGAACCGCAUGGUUCAAUAGUGAAAGACGGUUUUGCUGUCACUUAUAGAUGGAUCCGCGCCGCAUUAGCUAGUUGGUAAGGUAACGGCUUACCAAGGCAACGAUGCGUAGCCGACCUGAGAGGGUGAUCGGCCACACUGGAACUGAGACACGGUCCAGACUCCUACGGGAGGCAGCAGUAGGGAAUCUUCCGCAAUGGGCGAAAGCUUGACGGAGCAACGCCGCGUGAGUGAUGAAGGUCUUCGGAUUGUAAAACUCUGUUAUUAGGGAAGAACAGAAGUGUAAGUAACUAUGCACGUCUUGACGGUACCUAAACAGAAAGCCACGGCUAACUACGUG
RNAcentral lists this ribosomal RNA (497 nucleotides) under uncultured bacterium. RNAcentral's name for it is "partial 16S ribosomal RNA". It matches the Rfam family "Bacterial small subunit ribosomal RNA", at positions 28 to 507 of the family's 1533-position model. The record is from RNAcentral.